Non-coding RNA from Podarcis lilfordi (Lilford's wall lizard), 72 nucleotides. NCBI's taxonomy places the organism in Eukaryota, Metazoa, Chordata, Lepidosauria, Squamata, Lacertidae. The record is from the annotation of a GenBank genome assembly.
UGAACUGUAGCUCAGUGGUGGAGCAUCUGUGUUGAAUGCAGAAAAUCCCAAAUUCAAUCCCUGGCAGCUCCA